Molecule: ribosomal RNA, 475 nt
Filed under: uncultured bacterium
Lineage: Bacteria
Description: bacterial SSU rRNA
Rfam family: Bacterial small subunit ribosomal RNA
Source: RNAcentral
UGAACGCUAGCGGCAGGCCUAACACAUGCAAGUCGAGGGGUAACAGAGAGAAGCUCGCUUUUUUGCUGACGACCGGGGCACGGGUGCGUAACGCGUAUACAAUCUGCCUUAUACAGAGGGAUAGCCUUUAGAAAUGAAGAUUAAUACCUUAUAGUCUAUUUUUAUAGCAUUAUAUAAAUAGUAAAGCUUCGGUGGUAUAAGAUGAGUAUGCGUCCUAUUAGUUAGUUGGUAAGGUAACGGCUUACCAAGACAACGAUAGGUAGGGGCCCUGAGAGGGGGAUCCCCCACACUGGUACUGAGACACGGACCAGACUCCUACGGGAGGCAGCAGUGAGGAAUAUUGGACAAUGGAGGCAACUCUGAUCCAGCCAUGCCGCGUGCAGGAUGACGGCCCUAUGGGUUGUAAACUGCUUUUAUAUAGGAAGAAACCUUUUCACGUGUGAGAAGCUGACGGUACUAUAAGAAUAAGGACCGG